RNAcentral lists this ribosomal RNA (224 nucleotides) under Clostridioides difficile. RNAcentral describes it as "partial 23S ribosomal RNA". It matches the Rfam family "Bacterial large subunit ribosomal RNA", at positions 1143 to 1375 of the family's 2925-position model. Lineage: Bacteria; Bacillati; Bacillota; Clostridia; Peptostreptococcales; Peptostreptococcaceae. The record is from RNAcentral.
CACUGGUCGAGUGAUCCUGCGCCGAAGAUUUCCGGGGCUAAAACUUACUACCGAAGCUACGGCAUCAGUAAUGAUGGGUAGGGGAGCUUCCCAUACAGGUUGAAGCAUGACCGUAAGGACAUGUGGACAGUAUGGGAGUGAGAAUGUUGGCAUGAGUAGCGAGAUGUGGGUGAGAAUCCCACAGGCCGUAAACCCAAGGUUUCCAGGGGAAGGUUCGUCCGCCC